This is a non-coding RNA of Podarcis lilfordi (Lilford's wall lizard), 69 nucleotides long. The record is from the annotation of a GenBank genome assembly. Lineage: Eukaryota; Metazoa; Chordata; Lepidosauria; Squamata; Lacertidae.
GGUGGCGCAAUGGGACAGCACAUCUGGCUGCUAACCAGAGGGUUGGUGGUUCGAGCCCACCCAGGGACA